RNAcentral lists this ribosomal RNA (253 nucleotides) under uncultured bacterium. Its description in RNAcentral is "partial 16S ribosomal RNA". It matches the Rfam family "Bacterial small subunit ribosomal RNA", at positions 524 to 776 of the family's 1533-position model. The record is from RNAcentral.
UACGUAGGUGGCGAGCGUUGUCCGGAAUUACUGGGCGUAAAGCGCGUGUAGGUGGUGGGACAAGUCUGCUGUGAAAGCGCCUGGCUUAACCGGGCGAGGUCGGCGGAAACUGUCCGACUAGAGGACGGUAGAGGGGGGUGGAAUUCCCGGUGUAGUGGUGAAAUGCGUAGAGAUCGGGAGGAACACCUGUGGCGAAGGCGGCCCCCUGGGCCGGCCCUGACACUGAGACGCGAAGGCGUGGGGAGCGAACGGG